UACAGAGGUCUCAACCGUUGUUCGGAUUCAUUGGGCGUAAAGGGCGCGUAGGCGGCCCGCUAAGUCGAACGUGAAAUCCCUGGGCUCAACCCAGGAACUGCGUCCGAUACUGGCAGGCUUGAAUCCGGGAGAGGGAUGCGGAAUUCCAGGUGUAGCGGUGAAAUGCGUAGAUAUCUGGAGGAACACCGGUGGCGAAGGCGGCAUCCUGGACCGGUAUUGACGCUGAGGCGCGAAAGCCAGGGGAGCAAACGGG
RNAcentral lists this ribosomal RNA (253 nucleotides) under uncultured bacterium. Its description in RNAcentral is "partial 16S ribosomal RNA". It matches the Rfam family "Bacterial small subunit ribosomal RNA", at positions 524 to 776 of the family's 1533-position model. The record is from RNAcentral.